GUCACCGGCGGUAGUCGGAUCAUGACAUGACCUCUGGACAGAAGCACGACUUGGCAAAUAAAAUGCUCAGACAAGUAGCUUACGGGGAGAGCAGAGCUCCCAGUCCGUCACCAGCUCAAGAAGACUACUAGCUAGUGUCAGUCAUGAUGACAUCCCACUCAUCAGUAUUAGUAGCAGGACUAGUGUGUCUCAGUGCGGCGGUGGUCGUGCCAAUGCCAUGGCUAGCCGCCGGGGAGAGUAGUAUUGGUGGUGCGGAGUGCAAAAGAUCAUGCGGCGGCGUGGAGAUCCUCAGCAUCUCUCCGGAGCAAGGUGAAGCCAAGGUGCUCCUCCCUAUCUCUUCUUACUGCUACGACUCUGCGUCUCGGACGAUGGUGGCCGACGAGUGGCACUGGUCCUUGGGCGCCAAUUACCGUUUCUCCAGCACGGCCAACAAGUUCACGGUGGUAGGGUGCCGGGCGCUGGCGUACAUCGGUGACACCAGGAAGAAGAGGAACAACGUUGCUGAGAAUAACUACCUGACCGGGUGCGUGUCCACGUGCUUCAACCGCACGAUCUCCCUAAACACUUGCUCCGGGAUGGGAUGCUGCCAGACGGUCAUCCCCAACGGUCCGCCGUAUUUCCAUGUGUGGUUCGACGCCGGCUUCAUGGACAUCUCUGGGAUCGACGGCGGCGCGGACUUAUUUGGUCGCUGCAGUUUCGCGGUGCUCAUGGACUCGUCCAACUUCACGUCGUGGACCUCUAGCUCCAGCAACAUCUCGUCGCCGGAGUUCGUCAACAAUGUUAGCUCGCUGUUGCAGUUCUUCAACAGCUCCCGUGGUGGAAAGGCGCCGGUGGUCCUUGACUGGUCCAUCGGGGAGGACGACUGCAAGAACCCUGCAGGAUACGCGUGCCGCAGCGUCAACAGCUUCUGCUCAAGCGCAGCCAGCGGACGGGGCUACAUCUGUAAGUGCAACCAAGGUUUCGACGGCAACCCUUACCUUCCUAACGGCUGCCAAGCGCUGUUCCGUCGGCGUUCCGAUGAUGCCGUAGGCGACCUGAGCCUGUGGUUCCCUUUCCGACUGGGACAUUUGGGGGACAUUGUUGGAGCGACGGCUCGGGGAGUCACCGGCCUUUUUUUUCCUGGCUGGUUUACUGAGCAAGAAGAAGAAGAAGAAGUUGUUGAAGAAGGGAUACCACCCACCUCUGAUCCUCAGGCAGACAAUUGCUUUUAUUUUGAUAUCUGCGGAUCCGAGCAAGACACCUCUGAUAACAAAGAGCAAGAAGAAGAAGAAGAAGUUGUUGAAGAAGGGAUACCACCCACCUCUGAUCCUCAGGCAGACAAUUGCUUUUAUUUUGAUAUCUGCGGAUCCGAGCAAGACACCUCUGAUAACAAAGGGAGGUAUCAAUUUUUCAACUGUAUGCACUCAAAUCUUUUUGAAGAAUAUAAGUUCUUCCCCAAGUAUCCUGAUAAGCAGCUUAAGAUAGCAGCUAUUCUGUUUGCAAGUAUGCCCAAGAGGUCAAGUCUGCAAUUCUGAAUGGCAACUCUAAUUUCCUAGAAACCUCAGAUUCUGAAAUUGAUAAACUGUCCUUGGGGUAUUCUGAUUUGCUGGUGUAGUUAUUGGACUCUGAAUCAUGCACAAAAGCUAAGUGCAGCUGAUUGAUGCAGUUAAAGAGCUGGACGAAUAGAUGAGAUGGAGAAGAAGCAGGUUGAACUUCCUCUGAAGCAACUGGAAACCAUCUUGACAUAAUAAAACCAAGCUCUAAUAUCAUUGUAACAAUCUAUGAAACCCAGAAGAUGCAGAUCAUGUGCCUGGGCAUGAAGCUGAUGCUGCCGGAGUCUCAUAACCAGCCGCUCGAAGCAGCAGCAGCAGCAGAGAUCCGCUGAGCAAGACAACCACGAUUAGCAGAAGUCCAAAGAGAUGAUCAAAUGUAAUUCUCCCUCCCUGCAACAAAGCCACUUUAGUUGCCAUCAUCAGCAAAAAUGAAAUCUGAGCACUACACAAUAUUGUAUUAGGAACAGCUCAUGAUGAGCUCUGGAAGGAAGAAGACGACGAUUAGGACUACCACUACUGAACCAUCGAUCGCCAGCUGCAUACGUUUGCUGAUUUCUCUUUAACAGCCAUGUCUACCUCCUAUCUGACGAGCUCUCUAAAGGCAUUCAGUUCAGCACUCAUGUUUCAAGGGCCUUUUGUGCUUUGCUUCUUUAUAAUA
Molecule: RNA transcript, 2190 nt
Organism: Zea mays
Lineage: Eukaryota; Viridiplantae; Streptophyta; Magnoliopsida; Poales; Poaceae
Exons: 10
Source: RefSeq, a predicted model, not a curated record